RNAcentral lists this non-coding RNA (521 nucleotides) under Pan troglodytes (chimpanzee). Lineage: Eukaryota; Metazoa; Chordata; Mammalia; Primates; Hominidae. The record is from RNAcentral.
AGAGCCGCCCUGUCCGCGCCGCGCCUCGGCAGCCGGAACAGGGCCGCCGUCGGGGAGCCCCAACACACGAUCCACAGCUCAUCAUGAUGGACUUGGAGCUGCCGUCGCCGGGACUCCCGUCCCAGCAGGACAUGGAUUUGAUUGACAUACUUUGGAGGCAAGAUAUAGAUCUUGGAGUAAGUCGAGAAGUAUUUGACUUCAGUCAGCGACGGAAAGAGUAUGAGCUGGAAAAACAGAAAAAACUUGAAAAGGAAAGACAAGAACAACUCCAAAAGGAGCAAGAGAAAGCCUUUUUCGCUCAGUUACAACUAGAUGAAGAGACAGGUGAAUUUCUCCCAAUUCAGCCAGCCCAGCACAUCCAGUCAGAAACCAGUGGAUCUGCCAACUACUCCCAGGUACAGAGUACUCAGUUCUUGGGAAAGUUAUGGCAGGUUUAAGGAAACACUGAGCAAGGAAUUAAAAUAUCUGGAUUUGAGUUCCAGCUUUGCCUUUCUUUUACUUAUCCUUGUCAAAUCUACUUU